UGCAAUGUCGAGCGCGGGAAGCCGGCGGACUCCUUCGGGAGGAAACCGGUGGAACGAGCGGCGGACGGGUGAGUAACACGUGGGCAACCUGCCGGACUGAUGGGAAUAACCCCGGGAAACCGGGGCUAAUGCCCAAUACGCCCUGACCUCGCCUGAGGUCAGCGGUAAAGCAGGGAUCUUCGGAUCCUUGCACAGUCCGAUGGGCCCGCGGCGCAUUAGCUAGUUGGAGAGGUAAGGGCUCCCCAAGGCGACGAUGCGUAGCCGACCUGAGAGGGUGAUCGGCCACACUGGGACUGAGACACGGCCCAGACUCCUACGGGAGGCAGCAGUAGGGAAUCAUCCGCAAUGGGCGAAAGCCUGACGGUGCAACGCCGCGUGAGUGAUGAAGGUUUUCGGAUCGUAAAGCUCUGUUGACAGGGAAGAACCCACGUCAGUCGAACAGGCUGGCGUGCUGACGGUACCUGUCCAGAAAGCCCCGGCUAACUACGUGCCAGCAGCCGCGGUAAUACGUAGGGGGCAAGCGUUGUCCGGAAUUAUUGGGCGUAAAGGGCACGCAGGCGGUUUCGUCAGUCCGAUGUGACAGGCCACGGCUCAACCGUGGAAGGCCAUUGGAAACUGCGAAACUUGAGGACAGAAGAGGAGAGUGGAAUUCCACGUGUAGCGGUGAAAUGCGUAGAUAUGUGGAGGAACACCAGUGGCGAAGGCGACUCUCUGGUCUGUACCUGACGCUGAGGUGCGAAAGCAUGGGGAGCAAACAGGAUUAGAUACCCUGGUAGUCCAUGCCGUAAACGCUGAGUGCUAGGUGUUAGGGGUUUCGAUACCCGUAGUGCCGAAGCUAACGCAUUAAGCACUCCGCCUGGGGAGUACGACCGCAAGGUUGAAACUCAAAGGAAUUGACGGGGGCCCGCACAAGCGGUGGAGCAUGUGGUUUAAUUCGACGCAACGCGAAGAACCUUACCAGAUCUUGACAUCUUCCGCUACGCCUCGAGAGAGGCGGUUCCCCUUCGGGGGACGGAAUGACAGGUGGUGCAUGGUUGUCCUCACCUCGUGU
This 1051-nucleotide ribosomal RNA is filed under the name Marinococcus halotolerans. Its description in RNAcentral is "bacterial SSU rRNA". It matches the Rfam family "Bacterial small subunit ribosomal RNA", at positions 56 to 1065 of the family's 1533-position model. Lineage: Bacteria; Bacillati; Bacillota; Bacilli; Caryophanales; Bacillaceae. The record is from RNAcentral.